UGAGGAAUAUUGGUCAAUGGGCGGGCAGGACCUGAACCAGCCAAGUAGCGUGCGGGACGAAGGCCCUACGGGUCGUAAACCGCUUUUGCACGGGGAUAACACCCGCCACUCGUGGCGGUCUGCAGGUACCGUGCGAAUAAGGGCCGGCUAAUUCCGUGCCAGCAGCCGCGGUAAUACGGAAGGCCCGAGCGUUAUCCGGAUUCAUUGGGCUUAAAGGGAGCGUAGGCGGGCCUUCAAGUCAGCUGUAAAAUCGCGCGGCUCAACCGCGCCCCGCAGUUGAAACUGGAGGCCUUGAGUGCAUGCGAGGCAGGCGGAAUUCGUGGUGUAGCGGUGAAAUGCAUAGAUAUCACGAGGAACCCCGAUUGCGAAGGCAGCCUGCCGGUGUGCCACUGACGCUGAGGCUCGAAGGUGCGGGUAUCAAACAGGAUUAGAUACC
Molecule: ribosomal RNA, 436 nt
Filed under: uncultured bacterium
Lineage: Bacteria
Description: bacterial SSU rRNA
Rfam family: Bacterial small subunit ribosomal RNA
Source: RNAcentral